RNAcentral lists this ribosomal RNA (492 nucleotides) under uncultured bacterium. RNAcentral describes it as "partial 16S ribosomal RNA". It matches the Rfam family "Bacterial small subunit ribosomal RNA", at positions 29 to 507 of the family's 1533-position model. The record is from RNAcentral.
AGUGAACGCUGGCGGUAGGCCUAACACAUGCAAGUCGAACGGCAGCACAGUAAGAGCUUGCUCUUACGGGUGGCGGGUGGCGGACGGGUGAGGAAUACAUCGGAAUCUACUUUUUCGUGGGGGAUAACGUAGGGAAACUUACGCUAAUACCGCAUACGACCUACGGGUGAAAGCAGGGGAUCUUCGGACCUUGCGCGAUUGAAUGAGCCGAUGUCGGAUUAGCUAGUUGGCGGGGUAAAGGCCCACCAAGGCGACGAUCCGUAUCUGGUCUGAGAGGAUGAUCAGCCACACUGGAACUGAGACACGGUCCAGACUCCUACGGGAGGCAACAGUGGGGAAUAUUGGACAAUGGGCGCAAGCCUGAUCCAGCCAUACCGCGUGGGUGAAGAAGGCCUUCGGGUUGUAAAGCCCUUUUGUUGGGAAAGAAAAGCAGCAGGUUAAUACCCCGCUGUUCUGACGGUACCCAAAGAAUAAGCACCGGCUAACUUCGUG